This 301-nucleotide ribosomal RNA is filed under the name uncultured bacterium. RNAcentral describes it as "partial 16S ribosomal RNA". It matches the Rfam family "Bacterial small subunit ribosomal RNA", at positions 509 to 808 of the family's 1533-position model. The record is from RNAcentral.
CAGUAGCCACGGUAAUACGUAGGUGGCAAGCGUUGUCCGGAAUUAUUGGGCGUAAAGGGCUCGCAGGCGGUUUCUUAAGUCUGAUGUGAAAGCCCCCGGCUCAACCGGGGAGGGUCAUUGGAAACUGGGAAACUUGAGUGCAGAAGAGGAGAGUGGAAUUCCACGUGUAGCGGUGAAAUGCGUAGAGAUGUGGAGGAACACCAGUGGCGAAGGCGACUCCCUGGUCUGUAACUGACGCUGAGGAGCGAAAGCGUGGGGAGCGAACAGGAUUAGAUACCCGUGUAGUCCCUGUCUCUUUACA